RNAcentral lists this ribosomal RNA (439 nucleotides) under uncultured bacterium. Its description in RNAcentral is "partial 16S ribosomal RNA". It matches the Rfam family "Bacterial small subunit ribosomal RNA", at positions 339 to 795 of the family's 1533-position model. The record is from RNAcentral.
CUACGGGUUGCUCCAGUGAGGAAUAUUGCACAAUGGGGGGAACCCUGAUGCAGCAACGCCGCGUGGAGGAUGACGCAUUUCGGUGUGUAAACUCCUUUUAUAUGUCAAGAAAAUGACGGUAGCAUACGAAUAAGCACCGGCUAACUCCGUGCCAGCAGCCGCGGUAAUACGGAGGGUGCAAGCGUUACUCGGAAUCACUGGGCGUAAAGGACGCGUAGGCGGGUUGGAAAGUCAGGUGUGAAAUCCUACAGCUUAACUGUAGAACUGCACUUGAAACUUCUAAUCUAGAGUAUGGGAGGGGGAGACGGAAUUAGUGGUGUAGGGGUAAAAUCCGUAGAUAUCACUAGGAAUACCUAAAGCGAAGGCGAUCUCCUGGAACAUUACUGACGCUAAGGCGUGAAAGCGUGGGGAGCAAACAGGAUUAGAUACCCGCGUAGUC